Pogoniulus pusillus (Red-fronted tinkerbird) is the source of this 313-nucleotide long non-coding RNA. RefSeq lists it as uncharacterized. NCBI's taxonomy places the organism in Eukaryota, Metazoa, Chordata, Aves, Piciformes, Lybiidae. The record is from RefSeq and is a predicted model, not a curated record. The transcript has 2 exons.
CUUCCAUGCAGAUGAUGCCAAGCUUUCCUAAAAUUCAGUAAUGUUGUUUUCAGAAAGGUUAUGGAGCCACUGGCCAAUAAGAAGUAACAGAUUCCUGAAGACAACAACAUCGUAGCUUUACACUUAAGCAUUCUGAUGCAUGCACAACAUACACUGUCAGCAACUUCCCAAGUUACCAGAGGAGGAAGGUUGGAUUUUGGCUAGACAUUUAAGUCUUGAACAGAGACAGGCAACAGUGAUGCAAACCAAGUGCUUCUGAACAGAAAGCUGCCUACAUCUGUAUUCACUCUUACCCCCUUAUCCUGAUCACAAA